This 592-nucleotide ribosomal RNA is filed under the name Chryseobacterium sp. Air222. RNAcentral describes it as "bacterial SSU rRNA". It matches the Rfam family "Bacterial small subunit ribosomal RNA", at positions 72 to 664 of the family's 1533-position model. Lineage: Bacteria; Pseudomonadati; Bacteroidota; Flavobacteriia; Flavobacteriales; Weeksellaceae. The record is from RNAcentral.
UUUGUUCUUCGGAACAGAGAGAGCGGCGUACGGGUGCGUAACACGUGUGCAACCUACCUUUAUCAGGGGAAUAGCCUUUCGAAAGGAAGAUUAAUACUCCAUAAUAUAUUUAAUGGCAUCAUUAGAUAUUGAAAACUCCGGUGGAUAGAGAUGGGCACGCGCAAGAUUAGAUAGUUGGUGAGGUAACGGCUCACCAAGUCUGUGAUCUUUAGGGGUCCUGAGAGGGAGAUCCCCCACACUGGUACUGAGACACGGACCAGACUCCUACGGGAGGCAGCAGUGAGGAAUAUUGGACAAUGGGUGAGAGCCUGAUCCAGCCAUCCCGCGUGAAGGAUUAAGGUCCUACGGAUUGUAAACUUCUUUUGUACAGGAAUAAACCUAUUUACGUGUAAAUAGCUGAAGGUACUGUACGAAUAAGCACCGGCUAACUCCGUGCCAGCAGCCGCGGUAAUACGGAGGGUGCAAGCGUUAUCCGGAUUUAUUGGGUUUAAAGGGUCCGCAGGCGGACUGAUAAGUCAGUGGUGAAAUCUCAUAGCUUAACUAUGAAACUGCCAUUGAUACUGUUGGUCUUGAGUAAAUUUGAGGUAGCUGG